This 128-nucleotide small RNA is filed under the name Arabidopsis thaliana (thale cress). Its description in RNAcentral is "ATSL030590". Lineage: Eukaryota; Viridiplantae; Streptophyta; Magnoliopsida; Brassicales; Brassicaceae. The record is from RNAcentral.
ACUAGAAUUAUAUGGUAGGACGGGUUUGGAUCGAUAUUAAUACAAAUUUAUAAUAUCAUCAACCCAAAGUAAUAAUACCGUUUAAAUAUUAUUUUAAUAUUUUAUCAGCAUUAUUUUUAACAGUAUUU